GAGGAAUAUUGGUCAAUGGGCGAGAGCCUGAACCAGCCAAGUAGCGUGCAGGAAGACGGCCCUAUGGGUUGUAAACUGCUUUUGUAUGGGGAUAAGGUCAAUCACGUGUGAUUGUUUGCAGGUACCAUACGAAUAAGGACCGGCUAAUUCCGUGCCAGCAGCCGCGGUAAUACGGAAGGUCCGGGCGUUAUCCGGAUUUAUUGGGUUUAAGGGGAGCGUAGGCUGGAGAUUAAGUGUGUUGUGAAAUGUAGACGCUCAACGUCUGACUUGCAGCGCAUACUGGUUUCCUUGAGUACGCACAACGUUGGCGGAAUUCGUCGUGUAGCGGUGAAAUGCUUAGAUAUGACGAAGAACUCCGAUUGCGAAGGCAGCUGACGGGAGCGCAACUGACGCUGAAGCUCGAAGGUGCGGGUAUCGAACAGGAUUAGAUACCCUGGUAGUCCGCACAGUAAACGAUGGAUGCCCGCUGUUGGUACCUUGUAUCAGCGGCUAAGCGAAAGCAUUAAGCAUCCCACCUGGGGAGUACGCCGGCAACGGUG
RNAcentral lists this ribosomal RNA (539 nucleotides) under uncultured bacterium. Its description in RNAcentral is "bacterial SSU rRNA". It matches the Rfam family "Bacterial small subunit ribosomal RNA", at positions 356 to 896 of the family's 1533-position model. The record is from RNAcentral.